CAAAGAAAGGAGAUUUUAACUCCCACCCCUGGCUCCCACAGCCUGGAUUCUUAGUUAAACUAUUCUUUG
This 69-nucleotide transfer RNA is filed under the name Sebastes mystinus. RNAcentral describes it as "tRNA-Pro". Lineage: Eukaryota; Metazoa; Chordata; Actinopteri; Perciformes; Sebastidae. The record is from RNAcentral.